AUUGAACGCUGGCGGCAUGCCUUACACAUGCAAGUCGAACGGCAGCGGACCUUCGGGUGCCGGCGAGUGGCGAACGGGUGAGUAAUAUAUCGGAACGUACCUUUCAGUGGGGGAUAACGUAGCGAAAGUUACGCUAAUACCGCAUAUUCUGUGAGCAGGAAAGCAGGGGAUCGCAAGACCUUGCGCUGAUUGAGCGGCCGAUAUCAGAUUAGCUAGUUGGUGAGGUAAAGGCUCAUCAAGGCGACGAUCUGUAGCGGGUCUGAGAGGAUGAUCCGCCACACUGGAACUGAGACACGGUCCAGACUCCUACGGGAGGCAGCAGUGGGGAAUUUUGGACAAUGGGCGCAAGCCUGAUCCAGCCAUGCCGCGUGAGUGAAGAAGGCCUCGGUUGUAAGAC
Molecule: ribosomal RNA, 397 nt
Filed under: uncultured bacterium
Lineage: Bacteria
Description: bacterial SSU rRNA
Rfam family: Bacterial small subunit ribosomal RNA
Source: RNAcentral